This 66-nucleotide transfer RNA is filed under the name Hypoponera sauteri. RNAcentral's name for it is "tRNA-Trp". Lineage: Eukaryota; Metazoa; Arthropoda; Insecta; Hymenoptera; Formicidae. The record is from RNAcentral.
AAGAUUUUAAGUUAAUCAAAACUAUAAACCUUCAAAGUUUAAAAUUAUUUAUUUUAUAAAAUCUUA